UACGUAGGGUGCAAGCGUUAAUCGGAAUUACUGGGCGUAAAGCGUACGCAGGCGGCUUUGCAAGACAGGUGUGAAAUCCCCGGGCCUAACCUGGGAACUGCUUGGUAUACUGGUUAUCUUGAGCCACUUAGGGGCGACCGGAACAAAUGGUGGAGCGGUGAAAUGCGUAGAUAUCAUUUGGAACGCCAAUGGUGAAAACAGGUCGCUGGGAGUGUGCUGACGCUGAGACACGAAAGCCAGGGGAGCGAACGGG
This 253-nucleotide ribosomal RNA is filed under the name uncultured bacterium. RNAcentral's name for it is "partial 16S ribosomal RNA". It matches the Rfam family "Bacterial small subunit ribosomal RNA", at positions 524 to 776 of the family's 1533-position model. The record is from RNAcentral.